Panicum hallii is the source of this 2360-nucleotide long non-coding RNA. RefSeq lists it as uncharacterized. The record is from RefSeq and is a predicted model, not a curated record. NCBI's taxonomy places the organism in Eukaryota, Viridiplantae, Streptophyta, Magnoliopsida, Poales, Poaceae. The transcript is spliced from 3 exons.
CACAGAUUUCCAUCGUCUUUUGUCCUGCGACCGUCGCCCCGCACCCCGUCGUCCUUCGUCGUCCAGCCUCCGUCGCACAUGGACCGUCCAUUUGAAUCCCUGAACGCUCGCGCUUCCCUCGCACAAAAAUCGCGCAGCCCAGGCCGCCGCACCACGAGAUCCGUCCUCCCCAGCCGUCCUCGCUGCGCCCAGGCCGUCGCACCCCAAGCUACGCCCUCCGCCGCCAUCCCUAACUGACGAUCUGCCUAUUCCCCGACUCCCUCCUCCUGUGGGCAGAUUCUCCUGCUCGCGUGCGCCGCGUCGCUAGAUCCACGCCGCGCCGCCGCCGUCCCCGCCGCUUCGCCCCACCGUCGGCCUCGUUUUAGUCCGCCGCCUCCCGCACGACGAGCCUUAACGCCACCUCCGCCCGCUCUCUCUCGCUCGCCGCACCAAGCAAUCACCACUACGAGCUUCGCCACGUCGAGCCGAAUCCAUUUGGCCAGUCCUCGCAGCCUCCCCGCCAGUGCAGAGCCGCCACCACGGAGUGUUCCGAAGCCGGCCGACGCUUGCCGGAUUCCAGCCAAAUCCGGCCUCUCCGCCAUAGGUCAGAGAUCCCUACCUAGGAGGAUUUGAUUCAAUUUGGUCCUAUUUUCGACAUUGGGCUCCCAAAUCAAGCACCUAGAACCAGCACCUAGAGAUGAUUGCACUCGUUGACCCAAGCAACCUGCUUGGUAUGAACGGAGCUGGCGUGCCCACCAUGUGCUUGUCGAAUGCCAAACCACAUAAACUGACAUACCGGAAGAAAGCAAAAUGGACAAUAAGUUAUGUGGCUGAAAUUGUUCAAUGCAGCAAGUAGUUGAGUACAUUAUGUAAUGAUGAACUGGUUGUGCCUGCAGUUAGGGGUGCAGUUUUGCUGAUUGAGGGAGUGAUCACUACUGCAUACACCUUUGCAUUGGUGGAACAACGAGAUGGUAGGCAAAAUCAGAUAUGUCGUAAUUCCUCAGUGGUGAUGUGCAGAUUUAGACAGGAAUCAAGCUGCGACAGCUGCUAGACUGGCAUGGUCCAUGCUAAGUUCUGCAGCAGCGACAGAAUCUAUACUGAGUGAAUUGCCAUGGCUUCUAGCAGUUCUGCACAUCAUUUCUCCUAAAUAUGCAAGGUAAUGGUAAUAUUUUUUUUUUCAUCUCUGCAAGAUCUACUACAUGUAGGUAUCAAAGUAAAUGUAAGCUGACACAUGUCAAUUUGAGUUGAAUAUAUCAUCAGUCCGCUUAUUUUCUAAUGGACAUCAUGUACACGAUCCAUUAAAUCCUAGUCAAUGGGAGCAAAUUGAUAGGACAAGCAUCUUCUAAACAUCAAUGGGGGUCCAUUUUUAUGGUCACUACUCCCCUUCUGGCUGAAUGGUGCCAAUAUUCCCUCAGGGUAGUUCUUUUUGGUUUGUUCCGAUUCAGUGUUCGAUCUGUGCAGUACUCUGAUUUUGUUGGUCUCUGUUCGAGCUUGUGAGAGAUGGAAGUUCAACCUCCCCAAUGGUCCCUUUCUGGUAACCCCACUCUCCUGGAUUGGAUUGUCUAUAGGCGGAUGCUCUAACACUCUUCAGGAUUGGAUUGUUCUAUAAAGCCAUCGUUGGUGUAUGAUUGCUGGAGUGCGGAUUAUCCUGAGUGAAAGGAAAAGGAACUGUUUGUCCUUUUGUUUGUAUGUUCAUACACUUGUUGGUAGUCUGGACAUUGAUGUCAUUCUGGUUGGAUGAAAGAUUUGUCUCACCAUAUUGCAUAGAAAGAUUUGUCUCACCAGUAGCCUUUUGAAGAAUCUACCAUGGCUUUUUCCUGAUUUUCGAUUCCAUCUGCUUGUUUCUGUAUUGGCAGUCUGCUAUUCAUGGCUGAGAAGAUAAAAGUUGAACCAAACAUCAGUUUGUUUUCUAUAUGCUCUCCUGGUUCUGGUGAAUGGUUCUGCGUUCAGCAGGUUACUUGGCGUAUGGUUAGUUUCUUAACUCACAAAUGGAUAAUUGUUUUACUCUAUUACAUUUAAAUUGUAGGAUUAUGCAACUCAGUGACCAUAUUCAUUUGCUGUUUGCCUGGGUAUAUCUGUUCAAGAUUGUCAGUGUGGCGUUAAUUUCAGGACUAUAACGCUGUGGAGAGAAAUUUUUUUUAAAAGAUAGAUGUUUUGGCCUCGACUUCAUCAAAAUAGAGAAUAACUUUUGAAUGCUUUUCUGCAAAGAGUGGUUACAGGUUGCAGGGGCAACACCACCUCAUUUGUCCUUACGAGGACCUAACUCAACUUGGCACUUCCUUCACUGUGUUUACUUUCCAAGUUGUUGAUAUGUUCUUUUACAAAGAUGUCCAAGUGUUUUAACAAGCUGAGGAGAAAAAUAUGGUUGCAUCCUUGUCAUC